GUGAGGAAUAUUGGUCAAUGGGCGCGAGCCUGAACCAGCCAAGUAGCGUGAGGGAUGACUGCCCUAUGGGUUGUAAACCUCUUUUGCAGGGGGGUAAAGUGGUCCACGUGUGGGCCAUUGCAAGUACCCUGCGAAUAAGCACCGGCUAACUCCGUGCCAGCAGCCGCGGUAAUACGGAGGGUGCGAGCGUUGUCCGGAUUUAUUGGGUUUAAAGGGUGCGUAGGCUGGAAGGUCAGUCAGCGGUGAAAAGCUGUCGCUUAACGAUAGUCUUGCCGCAGAUACUUCCUUUCUUGGAUGAGGAGGAGGCCACUGGAACGGAUGGUGUAGCGGUGAAAUGCAUAGAUAUCAUCCAGAACACCGAUUGCGAAGGCAGGUGGCUGUACCUUAAUCGACGUUGAUGCACGAAAGCAUGGGGAGCAAACAGGAUUAGAAACCCCGGUAGUCC
RNAcentral lists this ribosomal RNA (445 nucleotides) under uncultured bacterium. Its description in RNAcentral is "partial 16S ribosomal RNA". It matches the Rfam family "Bacterial small subunit ribosomal RNA", at positions 354 to 796 of the family's 1533-position model. The record is from RNAcentral.